UAUGUAUUCUGCAAGUUUAUGACCGUGACAGGGAUGGACGAUAUCCAGGCUCAAGAUCUGGGGGAUGAUGUGCAUCUCGUUCGGGAUAGGUACGUGGAUGGACUUGAAGGAUCACCGAAAGAAGAGAAACAGACUUACAGACCUAGUAGGCUACUGGUGGAGUAUCUGGAAGGUCAGAAAUGAUUGUAUCUUUCGAAAAAUCCCGUCGAACCCCGGAG
This 218-nucleotide long non-coding RNA is filed under the name Ananas comosus (pineapple). Its description in RNAcentral is "long non-coding RNA (ACOM_LNC011349)". Lineage: Eukaryota; Viridiplantae; Streptophyta; Magnoliopsida; Poales; Bromeliaceae. The record is from RNAcentral.